CGCGUAGACAACCUGCCCUUGAGUGGGGGAUAGCCCCGGGAAACUGGGAUUAAUACCGCAUGACAUUUUGAAGACAGCUGUUUUCAGAAUCAAAGGUUUCGAUCGCUCAGGGAUGGGUCUGCGUAGCAUUAGUUAGUUGGUAGGGUAACGGCCUACCAAGGCGACGAUGCUUAGCUGGUCUGAGAGGAUGAUCAGCCACACUGGGACUGAGAUACGGCCCAGACUCCUACGGGAGCAGCAGUGAGGAAUAUUGCGCAAUGGAGGCAACUCUGGCGCAGCAACGCCGCGUGAGUGAAGACGGCCCGAUGGGUUGUAAAGCUC
This 321-nucleotide ribosomal RNA is filed under the name uncultured Syntrophus sp. Its description in RNAcentral is "bacterial SSU rRNA". It matches the Rfam family "Bacterial small subunit ribosomal RNA", at positions 114 to 433 of the family's 1533-position model. The record is from RNAcentral. Lineage: Bacteria; Pseudomonadati; Thermodesulfobacteriota; Syntrophia; Syntrophales; Syntrophaceae.